This 384-nucleotide ribosomal RNA is filed under the name Guibemantis pulcher (Tsarafidy Madagascar frog). RNAcentral describes it as "partial 16S ribosomal RNA". It matches the Rfam family "Bacterial large subunit ribosomal RNA", at positions 2006 to 2556 of the family's 2925-position model. The record is from RNAcentral. Lineage: Eukaryota; Metazoa; Chordata; Amphibia; Anura; Mantellidae.
GAGGGUUAAACUGUCUCCUUUUUCAUAUCAGUGAAACUAAUCUCCCCGUGAAGAAGCGGGGAUAAUUUUAUAAGACGAGAAGACCCCAUGGAGCUUUAAACCCAUCUACACUCCGCUUAACUCUACCUUUAAACCUCUCGGAUCCUGUAUGUUCUGGUUUUAGGUUGGGGUGACCGCGGAGCAUAAACUAACCUCCACAAUGAAUAAAUUUUUUUCUUUAUCUAAGAUUAACACCUCUAAGAAUUAGUAUUCUAACAUAAAAUGAUCCGAUAUUCGAUCAACGAACCAAGUUACCCUGGGGAUAACAGCGCAAUCUACUUCAAGAGCCCCUAUCGACAAGUAGGUUUACGACCUCGAUGUUGGAUCAGGGUAUCCCAGUGGUGC